Solenopsis invicta (red fire ant) is the source of this 965-nucleotide RNA transcript. It is a transcript of the gene named E3 ubiquitin-protein ligase HUWE1-like, with no coding region annotated. NCBI's taxonomy places the organism in Eukaryota, Metazoa, Arthropoda, Insecta, Hymenoptera, Formicidae. The record is from RefSeq and is a predicted model, not a curated record. The transcript has 4 exons.
GCGUCAACAAUGUGCGAAAUUUAAUACCAAAUGGACGUAAUACAGUUAUUGUUAUGGAAAAGACCAAACUUGAAUAUAUUAGGCUCAUGUGUCAAAUGAAAAUGACUGGAGCAAUUUGUAAGCAAACUUGAACUAUUGAUCGGUGGCUUGCUUACUGUAAAUAUCUUAAAGGAGGAUCUUAAAGCAAAUAUUGAGUAUCAUAAAUACACUGCUACGUCUUUAUAGGUACAUUUUGAUAUUUUGUAUUAGCUCAAGUUUGAAAGACUUGAAUUAUACCAUCUUUUUUCCACUCACAGAUUCAAUGGUUCUGGUGCAUUGCGAGGUUUUAAUCAAGCGGAUUGUUCGAAGUUCUUACAAUUUAUCACUGGUACAUCUAAAGUGUCGUUACAAAGUUUUGCUGCGUUAGAAGGCAUGAACGGCAUACAAAAGUUCCAAAUUCACAGAGAAGACAAGUUGACAGACAGGCUUUCAUUUGCACAUAUUUGUUUCAAUCAACUGGAUUUGCCAGUGUACGAGACGUAUGAUAAACUCUAAACAAAUCUACUCAAGGCGACUUACGAAUGCACCAAAGAAUUUGGAUUUGCAUAAGCUUACCAGAAUUUGCUCCAGUACAAUUUCAAUUUCAAUCGAUACAAUUUCGCAUUCAAUCGAUGAUAUUCUAGAGACCAAACUUAUGGUUGGAUCUUUACAGCCAGUGAUAACAUUCCGGACGUGCAAUAGCCUAUUGCUUGCAAAAUUUUUAACGUACUUACAAAAAUUGUUAUACGCAAUGUUAUAUAUAAAACUAUCUUGUGAACGUAGCGAAUCACAGUGCUCUAAUUACUAUAAUAUGUAUUAUUACACUUAUACGACUUUAUAAAAUGAAAUAUAUAUUUUCAUUUUAUUAUACACAUUAAUUCUCAUGUAAUUAAUGGACAAUAAUUUAUUCGUUAAUAUAUACGCUAAUAAAUACGCUGAUUUUAAAA